GUCACUCACCCCCCCCCCCGCCCCCCAUCUCUCUCCGGGGGCUCUCGCGCAGCUGGCCCAGCAGACGCAGGGGCAGGCGCUGGCGUUUCUGCAGCAGCGGGCGGAGCAGGAGGCCUUGGAGACGCAGAUGGCGCUGAACAGGAUGCUCCUCCGACACCAGCUGCAGGUGUCCUCUGCGCCGCUGGCCCCAGGCCGUGCCCCCUCCCAGCCCUGGGGCUCCAGCCCUGGCCUCCCCGCGUGUCUGCCAGGCACCUGCCACCGUGCCCGGCCCUGCGGCCUCCAGUCGGCCCCACUUGGAAGAUGGACAAACGAGGCCCUGGGGUUGGAGACCUGCCCGAGACCGGACUCCUCCUGGGGACCCCGGCCUGGCGCGGCUGGCCCAACCCAGCACCCUCAGGUGGUGGAGCCACCCUGCGCCCCGCCCGCAGCACACGCCCCCUCCCUGUGCUCGCAGCGGCUGAUGCAGAAACACUCGGCCCAGGCCAGGCAGGAAAUGGCUUCGACGCCGGAGCGGCUGCCGAGCCGUGGGGACCCAGCGCCGAGGACGAGCUCUCCCAGGACCGUGGCGGCCAGACCCUGGUCACACCCACCCCUGGGCACAGACGCCGCUGUAUCCUCGCCCAGGGAAGGACGGGCGAGUGUGGCCGGCACGCCAGCCCCUGCAGAGCUGGAGAGGCCUGACCAAGCCCCCUCCCAGCUGCCCAUGGCCAAGCUCUGCCCUCCGGACCACCCUACCCAUCAGUGGAGCCCCGCGAGGCCCCGAAGCGCCGAGCCGCUGGGAGAUCUCGGAAGCUUGGGCCGCUUCAAGCUGCGGAUGCUGGAGCAGAGCCUGCACGAGGAGGAGCUGCGCGCGCAGCACCAGGCCGCGCUGCUGCGCCUGCGCGAGAUGGCGCUGGAGGAGAAGACCCGCGCCGAGCUGGUCUGGCUGGAGCAUAAGCGGGGGUGUCUGGGGAACAGGGAGGACAAAGCCAUGCUGGCCGAGCUUUCGGAGAAGCAGCAGCAAGCCCUCAGCACGUUUGAGAAGGAGCAGAGGGAAAUCCGACACCUGCGGAACAUCCACCUGUUCAUGCACCGCGACAGGAAGCUGCUGCUGCAGCAUCAUAAGGACAUCCUGUCCCUGCAGAGGUCCAUGGCCCACCUGCAGCAGGAGCUGCAAGCCGGGACCAAGCUGCCGCAGAGUUCCAGCCCCAAAGGCAAGGUCACCUGGGAUGGGGGCUCUGAGAAAAGCCUGCAGCCUGAGGGGCUGGCACAGGGCUCCCCGUGUCCCCUGAACCCACCCAGGCCUGGCAGCCCCACCGGCCAGCACUCCCGGAGCAGCCCUGCAAGCUUGGAAGUCACGCGCCUCCCCGCUGAGCAGCAGGACACGACACCCCCCCAGACAACUUCGGACACCGACGGUCACCUACAACCUCCGACACCAGCGUGGGGACAGGACACACUCAGCGCCCCGGACCGGCUGGUGGAAAGUGGCAGUCAUGUCGGCCAAGAGCCUGGGAAGCGGCCUCUCGUCCCUCUGCUGGGUCUUGAGCCCACGAGCUCCCUGGACACCGGGCAGCAGCCGGGCCCGGCCUUUCCUGCCACGGUGGCAGAGGAGCGCCACCCCACGGCUCAGCACAGCCCACAGGAGGCGAAGGACCCGCCCCCAGGAGACCCUCAGACCACGCCCUGCCCCUCCUCCGCAGAGGAGCCAGAUGGCCACACGUGGGGCCCCCCAGCUCAGCGCCAGCACUCCCGGGACAGAGGGGGGCCUUGUGGCCCCCAGGAAGCUAGCCAGGCGGCUGAAGGCGCCACGAUCCAAGUGCAGUUGGGGCCCCGUCUUGCCGGGAGCCCCCCAGCGGAGCCCCAGGACACAGAGAGCUGGUGGUCAGGGGAGCAGAGGUGCAGAGCUGCAGCCGGGGAGAGCCCGGGCAGGGGUGGGGCGUGCAUGGGGCAUGGAGACGGGGAGACAGGUUCCGCCUGCACUUCCGGUCUGCUCACUGCUCCUGGGCGGGCAUGCAGGUCUCACCUGCCCUUUCUGACUCUGACCCACGAUCAGAGACACAGACGAGCGGGCUCAAGGUCUGGCUGUGAGGCCAGCAGAGGGCCCUGCCCUGAGCGUGGGCUGUCCCAGCCCUCUGGGAAUGGUGACCUCCCGUCUGCUCCCUGAGCCUGUGGGACUGGGACCAGACACCUCCAAAGACAAGCCCCCAGGAGCCCUGUGCUCUGAGGGCCACCUCCAAUGGCGGCCGAGGACUGGCUGGGGUGCUUUCCAAGCAUGUGCGGUGUUGGCCGAUCCCUGGGGGGGUUCCCUUGACAGCCAGCCUGGGGAGGAGGCAGGAGGCUGGGCCCCCCUUGGGGGCUCCCCAGAACUCCUCCUCUAACGUGCUUGCAGGACAGAGGCCUGUCUGCAGGAGCCGGGGGUCGCCUCUGCCCGUCUGGAAGACGCCUGGCUGGCCGCCUCUCCAGGUGCUGCCCCGCCCCCGGCCCCUCCCUCUCCCUCUCCAGCCCACUUAAGGGUCCUCCCAGACCGGCUUCCACGAACCCCCGGGGUGACGGCCUCAGCUGGUCUGGGG
RNAcentral lists this long non-coding RNA (2552 nucleotides) under Microcebus murinus (gray mouse lemur). RNAcentral's name for it is "lncRNA (ENSMICG00000048254.1)". The record is from RNAcentral. Lineage: Eukaryota; Metazoa; Chordata; Mammalia; Primates; Cheirogaleidae.